This 336-nucleotide long non-coding RNA is filed under the name Vitis vinifera (wine grape). RNAcentral describes it as "long non-coding RNA (VVIN_LNC001539)". The record is from RNAcentral. Lineage: Eukaryota; Viridiplantae; Streptophyta; Magnoliopsida; Vitales; Vitaceae.
UCAAUUAUACAUAACUCUUCUGGUCCUUCUUCUUCUUCUGGAGUGAUUUGCUUUUUAGACAUAUAGAAAAUAUUUAGAUCCAGUGUCAUAUUACCAAAAGUGAGUUGCAUAAGCCCAUUUCUACAGUUGAUGAUUGCAUUUGAAGUUGCAAGAAAUGGCCUUCCAAGGAUGAUAGGAACUAGAUUAGCUUCCUUUACAGUAGGAUCUGUAUCAAGAACAACAAAAUCUACAGGAUAGUAGAAAUUAUCUACUUGAACUAAUACAUCCUCAAUUACCCCUCUUGGAAUUUUCACUGAUCUAUCUGCCAAAGAUAAAGUGAUUGCUGUUGGCUUCAAC